CAUGGAGGGUGCAGCUGUUGGCGAAGGCCACCAGGUCCAUCGCAGACCUCAGCUCUUGGAGUGCUUUGUGCAUGCCCAGGAUGCCGUUUUUUUCAGAGAUGGGGAGCUGGACACCCUCUUCUACUACACACAUCCCCACUUCUGCCGUCACCCACAAAGAAUCAGGCAUAGAAGAUCUGAAGCCAAGCUUAUGUUCUGGCAUUUACUGGCUCUGUGGCCUCG
Molecule: long non-coding RNA, 222 nt
Organism: Budorcas taxicolor (takin)
Lineage: Eukaryota; Metazoa; Chordata; Mammalia; Artiodactyla; Bovidae
Exons: 3
Source: RefSeq, a predicted model, not a curated record